RNAcentral lists this ribosomal RNA (444 nucleotides) under uncultured bacterium. RNAcentral's name for it is "SSU rRNA". It matches the Rfam family "Bacterial small subunit ribosomal RNA", at positions 26 to 518 of the family's 1533-position model. The record is from RNAcentral.
AGAGCGAACGCUGGCGGCAGGCCUAAUACAUGCAAGUCGAACGGAUCCUUCGGGAUUAGUGGCGGACGGGUGAGUAACACGUGGGAACGUGCCCUUUGGUUCGGAACAACUCAGGGAAACUUGAGCUAAUACCGGAUGUGCCCUUCGGGGGAAAGAUUUAUCGCCAUUGGAGCGGCCCGCGUCUGAUUAGCUAGUUGGUGGGGUAAAGGCCCACCAAGGCGACGAUCAGUAGCUGGUCUGAGAGGAUGAUCAGCCACACUGGGACUGAGACACGGCCCAGACUCCUACGGGAGGCAGCAGUAGGGAAUCUUGCGCAAUGGGCGAAAGCCUGACGCAGCCAUGCCGCGUGAAUGAUGAAGGUCUUAGGAUUGUAAAAUUCUUUCAGCGGGGACGAUAAUGACGGUACCGCAGAAGAAGCCCGGCUAACUUCGUGCCAGCAGCCGC